UCGAGGGGUAUAGGUUUUCGGAUCUAGAGACCGGCGCACGGGUGCGUAACGCGUAUGCAAUCUACCUUUUACAGAGGGAUAGCCCAGAGAAAUUUGGAUUAAUACCUCAUAGUAUUAUGAAAUGGCAUCAUUUUAUAAUUAAAGUCACAACGGUAAAAGAUGAGCAUGCGUCCCAUUAGCUAGUUGGUAAGGUAACGGCUUACCAAGGCAACGAUGGGUAGGGGUCCUGAGAGGGAGAUCCCCCACACUGGUACUGAGACACGGACCAGACUCCUACGGGAGGCAGCAGUGAGGAAUAUUGGACAAUGGGCGCAAGCCUGAUCCAGCCAUGCCGCGUGCAGGAUGACGGUCCUAUGGAUUGUAAACUGCUUUUGUACGAGAAGAAACACUACUUCGUGAAGUAGCUUGACGGUAUCGUAAGAAUAAGGAUCGGCUAACUCCGUGCCAGCAGCCGCGGUAAUACGGAGGAUCCAAGCGUUAUCCGGAAUCAUUGGGUUUAAAGGGUCCGUAGGCGGUUUAGUAAGUCAGUGGUGAAAGCCCAUCGCUCAACGGUGGAACGGCCAUUGAUACUGCUAGACUUGAAUUAUUAGGAAGUAACUAGAAUAUGUAGUGUAGCGGUGAAAUGCUUAGAGAUUACAUGGAAUACCAAUUGCGAAGGCAGGUUACUACUAAUUGAUUGACGCUGAUGGACG
This 692-nucleotide ribosomal RNA is filed under the name Flavobacterium sp. Its description in RNAcentral is "bacterial SSU rRNA". It matches the Rfam family "Bacterial small subunit ribosomal RNA", at positions 62 to 755 of the family's 1533-position model. The record is from RNAcentral. Lineage: Bacteria; Pseudomonadati; Bacteroidota; Flavobacteriia; Flavobacteriales; Flavobacteriaceae.